RNAcentral lists this ribosomal RNA (447 nucleotides) under Triticum aestivum (bread wheat). RNAcentral's name for it is "partial small subunit ribosomal RNA". Lineage: Eukaryota; Viridiplantae; Streptophyta; Magnoliopsida; Poales; Poaceae. The record is from RNAcentral.
AUGGCCGAGCAUCUCUUUGAGGACAUCUUCCACGUGACCAGGAUCGACCCGGAUGGCAAGAAGUUCGACAGAGUUAAUCGCAUUGAGGCUAGAAGUGAGCAGUUGGAGAUGUACAUGCAAUUAGAUAUCGCUACCGAUGUCUACCCAAUGCAUAUGGGUGACAAGUUCACCAUGGUUUUAGCUCCGACACUGAAUCUGGAUGGGACUCCAGACACUGGCUACUAUACACAGGCUGGUAGGAAAACACUUGCUGACAAGUAUGACUAUGUAAUGCAUGGAAAGCUUUACAAGAUUUCAGAGGACAAUUCCAGCAAGGAUAAAGGACCUACUAAAGUGGAGAUCUAUGCAUCUUUUGGUGGCCUCCUGAUGUUGCUCAAAGGCGAUCCUUCAAGUGCUGCUAACCUCGAGCUGGAUCAAAGGCUGUUCCUCCUCAUCCGAAAGGUGUAA